This 407-nucleotide ribosomal RNA is filed under the name uncultured bacterium. RNAcentral describes it as "partial 16S ribosomal RNA". It matches the Rfam family "Bacterial small subunit ribosomal RNA", at positions 30 to 526 of the family's 1533-position model. The record is from RNAcentral.
AUUGAACGCUGGCGGCAGGCCUAACACAUGCAAGUCGAGCGGAGCGGCGGACGGGUGAGUAAUGCCUAGGAAUGUGCCUGGUAGUGGGGGAUAACGUCAGGAAACGGGAGCUAAUACCGCAAACUAUAAGAUGAGCCUAGGUGGGAUUAGCUAGUUGGUGGGGUAAAGGACUACCAAGGCGACGAUCCGUAACGGGUCUGAGAGGAUGAGCAGUCACACUGGAACUGAGACACGGUCCAGACUCCUACGGGAGGCAGCAGUGGGGAAUAUUGGACAAUGGGCGCAAGCCUGAUCCAGCCAUGCCGCGUGUGUGAAGAAGGUCUUCGGAUUGUAAAGCACUGUAAGUUGGGAGGCGUUACCAACAGAAUAAGCACCGGCUAACUUCGUGCCAGCAGCCGCGGUAAUAC